Non-coding RNA from Nothobranchius furzeri (turquoise killifish), 1464 nucleotides. The record is from RefSeq and is a predicted model, not a curated record. Lineage: Eukaryota; Metazoa; Chordata; Actinopteri; Cyprinodontiformes; Nothobranchiidae.
AACCAUCGAGCACGAGCAGGUCUCAGCGUGCACAACAGUGUCACGCGCCUCACUCGGUUUACUGCAGAAACAUGGAGCAACAAAACCCCAAAUUACCGAUUCCUCGACUGCCUUCCACAUCUCAAAAAAACAUUUAAAAGUUUAAAAGCCCUUCUUCAAAAGUGGCUGUAAGACGUUUAAGACAGUCGAGUAGAAUUUACAUUGGAGAUUGUUUUAAACGAUGGAGAGAUUUUCGUGAUCAACACGGCCUGAAAACGGAUGAAGAGUUGGCAAAGUAUCUUUUGGACAGGACAUGUGGAUCGGUCUACUCCAUCAUGUGACUGGAGAACAUGAGUGGUCUCUGGAUGCUUGUCAGCAUGAUCCUUUACUAAGUGACAGAGAGAGAGACUGGAUUCAGAAAGGCUCCACUCCACACAAAGCCCUCAGUGACAUCAUUCUCAGUGAACGCUGGCUGAAAGAAGUCCCAAAAUAUUUUAAAUUCAGAUCUACAGCAAAUUUGGAGGCAUUUCACAACCAUCUCCUAAUGUAUGCAAGCAAAAGAUUCAGCUAUAUCCCACGAGGCACGGAUACUGCUUGCUGCAUUGGUCUACAAUCACCACUCACAUCGAGAAGUGAAGAGGAGAGCAGAUGGAUCGAUACAAUACCAUAAAAUAUUCAACAAAAAAUCAAGAUGCUGGAGGCUGUAUUCUGAGAAGGUGGCAAAAGACUACUCCUACAUCCCAGCGAUCCAAACCAUGAUCGUCAACCAACGUUUGACAAGCAAGAAAGAUCUUCCUCGACGCUACAAGCUAAGGCCCGAGGAUCCAAGGCGUUACGGUUUGCUGUCCGGAGUCCCUGCACCAUCAACAGAGGAACUUCUACAACACCUACGGACUCACGGUGAUGGGAAAACUUUGCCACAGACAUAGGUGUUGGGGGAGGCAAGAGAAAACACAAAACCUUCUUUAUUUUUGUUUCCUGUGUUUUUUUUUUGUGUUUGAAAAUAAAGAUAUAUUUUGGGGAAAUAAGGACUAAUAAUUUAAAAAUGUAUGUAAAAUGCUGGAGGUAGACAUAAGUUUUUGUUGUUGUGCAGGAGUUUUAAAAUCUAUGAUAUUUUUACAAAUGCAACACAGAGUUAUGCUUUAGAACAUUUUAUUAGAGCAUCAAACAAAAAUAUAUAAAAAACAAACGUAUGUAAAAUAUCAAAUAUAUACAUUUAUUUACAAUCGCCUUGGAAUAAAACCAGUGGGGUCAGGGAAUUUUUCCCUUAUCCUCCAGACCACAGCUUGGGAUUACUACUCUGCGACCUCCACCAAGUUUUCCAUGCUGCCAUGCUACAAAUUGUCUGUAAGCUGCAUGGCGGAACUGUCUGUUGUCCUCACCAGGGUCCGGGUCAUCAUAAACCGCUCGAAACUCAUUCCACAAUGUUCUGGCCAGGCGAAGAACACCAUUUUGCAGAAUAAACUCCUCCAUGUGUGGUACAGU